Capsicum annuum is the source of this 2457-nucleotide long non-coding RNA. RefSeq lists it as uncharacterized. The record is from RefSeq and is a predicted model, not a curated record. The transcript has 2 exons. NCBI's taxonomy places the organism in Eukaryota, Viridiplantae, Streptophyta, Magnoliopsida, Solanales, Solanaceae.
CGUGUAUGGUCUGAGGUAUUAACUUAUCCCAAUAUUUGUACUAAAAUGGCGGGAUUACUAUCUCAUAUAAAAGGUGGAUAAAAUAAUAUCAUGAGAUAUCCUUACUUAUUCUGUCCCACGGACAACACGACCCGUGGAGGUUCUGAUGGUGUUGGGAUAUGGGUCUUUGUCCCUUCCUAUGUGGAUAAAUAAAGUUCAGUUUGGACCAACCCACUUUUGCCGAUAGACCCAUUACUAUGGGGCAUAUAUAUAUAAAUAUAUGUAUGUGUGUGUGUAUAUAUAUAUAUAUAUGACAUGUAUGGUCUGAAACAAGACCUAAAAAGAUCUCUCUCUCUUAGCUCCCAAAGUUGUAUUAUAAGAAAGAUCUCUCUCUCUUAGCUCCCAAAGUUGUAUUUUAUUUUCUUAUUGUAUUUGAGUUUUUGUAUGGUGGUCUUAAAUGUUGCCUAUUGUUUGUCAUUGUUAUUAGUAGGUAUUGGUGUGUUUACUUCAAACUCCUUGUUCUCAUCUAGAGUUAGGUGAUAUUAAAGUUAGAAUUAGCUUUUACUCAAUUAGAGUUAGUUAGAUAGUGAUGCAGUAAAGUUACUGCAAAUUUCUCAUUGUAAUAAAGGUAUUACUAGGAGAAGAAGGAUUAGGAGGUUAAUCCUUAAUGUAAUGGAUUUGAUUCAAGUUGCUUGCAUAUUAUUGGAGCUUAGAAGUCUGAAUGCAGGUCGUGGUUUUUCUUCCUUGAGCAAGGAGUUUCCACAUAAAAUUAUUAGCGGGAUCUUCCUAAAUAAGGUUAACAUCUUGAAAGGAUCUUGAACAUGGCUGGUCCUCCAAAUCUUGAAGAAGGGGUCAGUCUACCACUAGACCACCUAGAUUCAAUAGAGUAUUAUAAGUGGUGAAAAACUAGGAUAUAUAUAUAUAUAUAUAUGUAGAGAGAGAGAACUUUUUAGGUCUUAUUUCACAUCCACAAAAGAGUUCUUAGCAGCCACAAAAGAGAUUAGGUUAGAUUUUCGCACUAAAAUUCCAGUCACAGCAGUCAACUUCAAAUUACGAUUUUUGCUUCGUUUCUUGUCCGAUUGAGCUAAUUUUUGGACAGCUUGUUCCUCUCAUCUCAAUCUUUGAUUAAAAACUGACGGGGUUGAAUUUGAUGGUCUAUAGCUCCUGUUUUUUAUUCCCGGACAGCAGCUACAUUUUUGGUGUUUGUGCUCCUUUUUAUUCUCUAGUUUUGGUGUUAUUUUGUUGUGUUGUUGCUCGUUAUUUGAAACUUGUUUUGUGGCCAUUUUGGAGAAUAAUAUUGUAAUUCUUGAUGGUUAUAGUGGAGGUUUUGGUCCCGUGGUGUUUUACUCUUCCCAUCGAAGGGUUUUCUAUGUAAAUUUGGUAUCUCUUGUUAUUGAUUUUAUUCUCGUCUUGUCAUAUUUAUUUGGUUGAAUUAUUUCUUUCAUAUACUAUUGUGCUUGGGUUUGUUAGUCUCCUCUUGGUUCAAAUUAUAAGGGAGAGUUAGACUUGGAUAUUCUUCCGCUGCUACCCUGUCGUGCACUUUGUUAGUACCCCUGCCUUUGCUAACAGAUGGAACAGUUUGAGGUGAAGGUUUAUGUGGAUGAGUUGAUUAGCAGUAUCUUGGUAGUAGUUUCCAAAGAGAGAGGUGCAUACUCGCAUUUCCAAAUUCAUGAUCUUGUGCAUGAUCUUUGUUUGAUAAGUCCAAGUGGUCUGUCAUCGUCUUCAUCAAAUCUAAUGCCACGUGGAAUGACUGUUCAUUAUGAUCAACAUUUACCUCAUUCGGAUGUAAACUUUUUCUUGCUCAAUCCGGUAAAGAAAAAUCCUUAUGUCAAAUGCCUCCGGUCUUUGACGGUAUACAUGAUGUUAAGUCCUUAGUUUUGAUGAUUGACAAAUUACAUGUUGGGACCUAGUUCAAUGUGUGAUGACAAAGCUGUAACUACUUAGGGACCUGGUUGGGCCUACACGUUGCUGUCUCAAUCAACUAUAUAGCUGGACGAAAGUACAAAGAUUGGUGGAAAGCUGUUGCAACCUUUUUUGUCUCGGCCAAUGGGAUUCAUCCUAGGUUGUCUUGUGUUAUAUAUACAUUGAUCAUCUUCCACAACAAGAAAAUCAAGGCUUCCAUAUACUCACAACAACAUAUCUCUCUUGAAGCUCUUGAAUCAAUGACUUAUUCGCAACAAGAAACUGAUAGCUCACAAAGUUGUAUUUAUUUCCUUAUUAGUAGGUGUUGGUGCGUUUACUUCAAACUCUUUUUUCUCAUCUAGAGUUAGGUGAUAUUAAAGCUAGAGUUAGCUUUUAGUUAGUUACAGUUAGCUGGGUAGUGGUGCAGUAGAGUUACUGCAAAUUUCUCUUUGUAAUAAAGGUAUUACUAGGAGAAGAAGGAUUAGGAAGUUAAUCCUUGAUGUAAUGGAUUUGUAUUCAAGUUGCUUGAAUAUUAUUGGAGCUUAGAAAUCUGAAUGCAGGUCGUGGUUUUUCUUC